Molecule: ribosomal RNA, 468 nt
Filed under: uncultured bacterium
Lineage: Bacteria
Description: partial 16S ribosomal RNA
Rfam family: Bacterial small subunit ribosomal RNA
Source: RNAcentral
GACGAACGCUGGCGGCGUGCUUAACACAUGCAAGUCGAACGGAAAGGCCCUGCUUUUGUGGGGGGCCAGAGUGGCGAACGGGUGAGUAACACGAGAGUAACCUGCCCUUGACUGUGGGAUAACUUCAGGAAACUGGGGCUAAUACCGGAUAGGAGCUCCUGCUGCGUGGAGGGGGUUGGAAAGUUUCGGCGGUUGGGGAUGGACUCGCGGCUUAUCAGCUUGUUGGUGGGGUAGUGGCUUACCAAGGCUUGGACGGGUAGCCGGCCUGAGAGGGUGACCGGCCACAUUGGGACUGAGAUACGGCCCAGACUCCUACGGGAGGCAGCAGUGGGGAAUAUUGCACAAUGGGCGGAAGCCUGAUGCAGCAACGCCGCGUGCGGGAUGACGGCCUUCGGGUUGUAAACCGCUUUCGCCUGUGACGAAGCGUGAGUGACGGUAAUGGGUAAAGAAGCACCGGCUAACUACGUG